AAGCAACAACCACAAGUGAUAGUAAGCUAGCUAUAUAUGAAAUUCACUGUAAUUUAAAACUUUUAAACUGAACUUUACAUAACUGAAUAACUGAAACAUUUAGUUAUUUACAUGCUUUAUAUUACAUUCAUUUACAUGUCUCUGUACAUCAAAAUGUCUCACAUGAACUCAAAAUGGUAAACUACUAUACUCUGGUGUCAGCUAGCUAAGCUGCGGGGCUCUUGCCACGAUCCUCGGCCACACCGCUCGCACUGGAACCUGUAUGGUUAGUGGUGUGAGAACUACUAAAAAUUCCCAGUGGGUUCGGCCGCCGACCUCGCCGACUCACCCACUAGGUCUAUUCAGGCAUAUGUAGGCAAAAGAAGUAAACAGAUAGUAACUAACUAUAACAUGUAACUACUACAAUGCCUGUACAAAGCUGAAAGAAAGCAAUAUAGGAAAACUGUAAAUAUGCAUGCAUAUUGUAAUAUACCACGGCCCAAUCAAUCUAGCUAACUAUUUGGUUAAUUGCAACUCACCAACUCAAUCCCUGGCGGGCCCUAAGCUGCCUCCCGACGGGACCGUCUGCUGGACAGAUACUUUAGUCCAUGGGCAAAUACUUUAGCCCAUCAUGUGACAACCUCCGGAGUGCACUGCUUGGGUGGAGCGACCACUACCAAUCUCAAAACAGACUAUGUGAGUAUGAUCUGAUCCUCCUUUAGAGGAUUCAAUAAUAGACAAUGUCACACUUUAACUCUACUAGCUCUUUAUGCUAGUUGCAAUUUCAUUCCUCGAUGCUAACCAAAUCUCUAGUUAGAAUGUCACCCAGUUCACUAUUGUUAUAGUCCAUACGUUCAUAGGGUUCUAUAUUCACAUUCUAAGGUUCACUAUUCUCACUAUUGAUAGGAAUUCACACUUUCAUUUGCACAAUGUCAAAUACCCUAUAAUGCAUGACUAUAAAUAUAAAUAUGUUCAAUGAAUUAUCAUAGACAUAAAAGGUGAUUCAAAGACUUCGGAUAGCACCACCCACCUGUAGUGGUG
This 1020-nucleotide long non-coding RNA is filed under the name Ananas comosus (pineapple). Its description in RNAcentral is "long non-coding RNA (ACOM_LNC007062)". Lineage: Eukaryota; Viridiplantae; Streptophyta; Magnoliopsida; Poales; Bromeliaceae. The record is from RNAcentral.